Oryctolagus cuniculus (rabbit) is the source of this 748-nucleotide non-coding RNA. NCBI's taxonomy places the organism in Eukaryota, Metazoa, Chordata, Mammalia, Lagomorpha, Leporidae. The record is from RefSeq and is a predicted model, not a curated record.
GGUGGGCGCGGCGGUGUCGUGCCUUUUGCGGUGAGCGGGGGACCGUGCGCAGCCAGCAACGCCGCCGACUUGGCUUUGUCUGCCUCCUGCCAGCCUGGCAGACACCUGUUCUGUCCUUGGGCGACUUCCCUGAGCGUCCCCGAUGUGUACAAGGGCCUCCUGUGCGUGCCAGGCCCUGCGUCUGGGGCAAGAGCAGGAACAAGAGAAACCAGAUGUCUGUUCCCUCGGAAUUCAGAGUCUAAAAAGGAGGCAGACAAGCAAGAUAAUCACAGGCUGCAGUGAAUUCUCAGAAGGAAGCGAACAAGGAGCCACAAAGGAGGAGAGCAAAGCCCCACCUGCAGCGCCGGCACACCGGGUUCUAGUCCCAGUCGGGGCGCCGGAUUCUGUCCCGGUUGUCCCCCCUUCCAGGCCAGCUCUCUGCUGUGGCCAGGGAAUGCAGUGGAGGAUGGCCCAAGUGCUUGGGCCCUGCACCCCAUGGGAGACCAAGAUAAGUACCUGGCUCCUGCCAUCGGAUCAGCGUGGGGCACCGGCCGCAGCGCGCCAGCCAUGGUGGCCAUUGGAGGGUGAACCAACGGCAAAGGAAGACCUUUCUCUCUGUCUCUCUCACUGUCCACUCUGCCUGUCAAAAAAAUUAAAAAAUAAAAAAUAAAUUUAAAAAAAGCACGGCCCUGUCUGGUUGUGCUGUUACUGAAACACUGGAUCCAAACCAUCACCUCAUUCGCCGGGAAUCAGAACCCCACACCCUCGA